This 1462-nucleotide long non-coding RNA is filed under the name Erythranthe guttata (spotted monkey flower). Its description in RNAcentral is "long non-coding RNA (EGUT_LNC002562)". Lineage: Eukaryota; Viridiplantae; Streptophyta; Magnoliopsida; Lamiales; Phrymaceae. The record is from RNAcentral.
UUGGAGCAAGUUGGAGCAAGGUGAGUCCCAAUUAUUUAGAAUAAGACUUUGGUUGUUCUUUGUAUACAAGUUGAUGUAUAAUCAACCCAUAAUUAUGUAUGUUGCUCAAAUUAGGCACAAAAAUUAGAAAACUUUGAUUUUUGGUGGGAUUGUUUUCGGCAGGCAGAAGCAUUAAUGGUGGUAAGACCUCUCUCUCUCUCUCUCUCUCUCUCUCUCUCUCUCUCUCUCUCUCUCUCUCUCUCUCUCUGGCACACACAAAAUAUUGUUAUUUUUUAGCCCCUUCUACAUAAUUUUCCAGACCAUUGUUUCGAUUGGAUAAUUGGUUGAACUAAUUUCUGAUGAAUUUCUAAGUUCAAGUGUUUAUAUUGGUGCUUUUUUUUUUCUACAACUCUUUAUGUAUUUAAAUGAGUAGCUAUAUUUUUUUUUUAGAUAUAUUUAUAAAGUUUCUGUAGAUACUUUUAGUUACAGUUAAGAUACCAUUGUUUGUGUGUUCUGUUACAAUUAAACAUAUGUACUAUUUAAAUUCCUAUUAAAAAUUAAAUUUGGUAGUAUAUUAUAUAUGAGUAAAAUAAGUGCCGGUUAAUUUGUCAAGUUCUACUACUAUGUUACAUGUAUUUUUCUGAAAAUUUAAUAAAGGAAAAAAGAACUCCGAGAAGAGUUCUGAACUGGUCCUCUUGAGCUCUAGUAAUCCUCAACAUAUAAGAAAUGUAAGAAAUAAUUUGUCUGAACUAUAUGACUGUUGUUAUUGGUGUAUGUAGUUGGAACCACCUUGAAGAAUAAUACUUUUAGUAUAAAUUUAUGUUUGUAAAGCCAAUAAAUUAAAAAUUUAUGCUUCUCACCUCAAUCCUUCUUCAUCAGUUUCUAACCGGAGCUUAAAGUCCCACAAGCGAAAGGACAGGUGGAAAAAGGUAAUUUUGCCCACCAUUUUUUUUUAAAUUGAAUUCAAUUGAACAUAUGUACAGUUGAUUUGAUUAUUUGUUGUCCAUAAUGUUUAUAUUCUAGAUUUUUCAAUACGACGUUUUUCUUUAAUUAUUUGUGCAAUUGGCUGCUUAAAAAAAAGAGGUACAUGGCCAUGAAAUCAGAUGCUAUAAAUGAAAUAUAAAUACUUUUUUUUUAAUGCAGCGGAUUACAGCCUUUGCGAAAAAAAAUGUUUUAACAUCAACGUUAACUAUUCGGGCACCAUCACCACAUAUAUUACGGUAAUUACAGAAGCUUUUGGUGAAUUCAGAUGAUAAUUCACAAAAAACUUUGUGAAACUUGAAUCGAACUAUUUGUUAAUUGUUAGUUUCUUCGCUGCUGAUGGAACGACAAUAUAAUAAUCAUAAUCAACAUUUGUCUCAGAUUUGGUUCGUGGUGUUCAUAAUAUCUUUGGCCUAGAUCAGACCCGUGUUGUUCAUAAUUUCUUUGGCCAGUGUGCUUUGGAGACACUUGUAUGCAUGUUUGCACUGAGGAAAUAGACUAG